RNAcentral lists this non-coding RNA (53 nucleotides) under Bradyrhizobium sp. RNAcentral's name for it is "Guanidine-II sequence". It matches the Rfam family "Guanidine-II riboswitch aptamer (mini-ykkC)". Rfam says of the family: Simpler in structure and has fewer highly conserved nucleotide positions than the ykkC-yxkD leader. Despite this each of its two stem-loop structures directly bind free guanidine. Lineage: Bacteria; Pseudomonadati; Pseudomonadota; Alphaproteobacteria; Hyphomicrobiales; Nitrobacteraceae. The record is from RNAcentral.
UGGGAAGGACGGCCUUCCUGCCCAUCAGCACACUUGUCGCGGGGACGACCCUG